UCUUCACCCCCCUCCCCAAAAAAAUACAAAAUAAAAUGCACGCUUCGGGAAGGAAAUGCUGUUGGAUAGAACCACAGCGCCCACUAUUACACGAGGCGGGAAUUAUGCGAUUUCACAAGACUUGGAACGGCUCUAUUUUUAAGAGGAAGAACAUUCGGAUGCAUUUCGACAAGUUUCGCGUAACUUCCAGUAAGCAGGAAUGCAAAACCUCGAGAAAGAACAACGAGCGAAUCUGAAAGCUGCAGUCACUCAAAAGCGCGGUGACGCACCGGCGUCAAAAGUUGGCGCAGGAAAGCAAACACGGCAAAGUGCACACAAAAUCGCCUGACCGGCCACGAUGUCGCCUCUAAAAAGUUUAUCUGAGUAUCCAAAGAGUGUCGCCUCCUUCUUUUUGCUGUGACACCGGACAGGGACGCGCAAGAAGCAGUACUUUUUUCCCCUUUUUUGCAAGUCGGGAAGUAAAAGAAAUUGGGGACCUACUUUUGGCCAGUUUUCUCGCCCUCGCCUUGGAUCUCAUCUUGUCGCCUUGUAGAUUCCUCUCGUCGUCCACCGUGAGCCCAGAAGCAGAAACAACACUAUCUUCAUCUCACCAGCAUUAUCACUUAUCUCUUCCCCUCCUCCUCCUCUAUACCUCCUCCUCCACAUGCUGCUCUCUCCUCACACUCGCACCUUCUCUCCCUCCCUCCCCCCCCGCUCCCCUCCCACUCCCACUUCAGCCACGGCUCUCAGCCCACCCAGCUCCGCUCUUGCCAGCACCCACUUGCAUUUAACUCCAGGCGGCAACAUGUUUCUCUGCAGCCGGCCUGUGCACGCGGCGAGAUUGGAUGACAAGUAAGGCAAGAAAAAAAAGUUUGUUAUAUGGUGGACGUCCUCUAAUUGCACAGUUCGCGGGGUAUUGUGCGUGUGUGCGCGCGUGCGUGUAGCAAUGCAGCAGCUAGCAGCUGUUAAACGCAUGCAUCCUCUCUUUCUCCCCCAGAGUAAACAUUAUUUCCACAUUUUGGCUGCUUGUAUAUAAAUUAAAAUGAAAUUAGAGCAAAAGAAGUGUAUACAAUACAACUGGACUACAGGCUGCAUGAGCAUGACUCUCCACCUGUCUUUUUGUUGUUGUUGUUAUUAUUUGUGUGUGUGU
Molecule: long non-coding RNA, 1129 nt
Organism: Corythoichthys intestinalis (scribbled pipefish)
Lineage: Eukaryota; Metazoa; Chordata; Actinopteri; Syngnathiformes; Syngnathidae
Exons: 3
Source: RefSeq, a predicted model, not a curated record